GAACUGAAACAUCUUAUUAGCCAGAGGAAAAUAAAGCAAAAGCGAUUUCCUUAUUAGCGGCGAGCUAACUGGAAACAGCCUAAACCUUUUAGGUGUAGUGGGACUAAGAAAAUUAAUUAAAAAUAAUUCGAAUUCGUUGAUAGCGAAAUCAUAGAUGGUUGAAAAUCCAGUAGAAUUAUAAUUAAGUUAUAUUUUAGCUCCCAAGUAUCAUAGAGCACGUGGAAUUCUGUGUGAAUCAGCGAGGACCACCUCGUAAGGCUAAAUACUUUUCAGUGACCGAUAGUGAACUAGUACCGCGAGGGAAAGGUGAAAAGAACCCUGGAAAGGGAGUGAAAUAGAUCAUGAAAACAUAAGCUUACAAGCAGUAGGAGGUCUAUUUGAAGACUGACUGUGUGCCUGUUGAAGAAUGUGCCGGCGACUUAUAGAUGAUGGCUUGGUUAAAAUUUUAAGAAUUGGAGCCAAAGUGAAAACGAGUUUGAAUAAAGCGUUAUGUCAUUGUUUAUAGACCCGAACCCGGGUGAUCUAAUCAUGACCAGGAUGAAGCUUGAGUAAAGUUAAGUGGAGGUCCGAACCCACCAAUGUUGAAAAAUUGGGGGAUGAGUUGUGAUUAGCAGAGAAAUUCCAGUCGAACUCGGAGCUAGCUGGAUCUCUUCGAAAUGCGUUUAGGCGCAGCAAUUAACUAUGGACUGUUCAGGGGUAAAGCACUGUUUCGAUGCGGGCUAUGAAAGUAGUACUAAGUUGUAGCAAACUCAGAAUACUGAACAUGAUUAAACAGUUAGUUAGUGAGACAGUGGGGGAUAAGCUUCAUUGUCAAGAGGGAAACAGCCCAGAUCACCAUUUAAGGCCCCUAAAUGAUUACUAAGUGGUAAAGGAUGUAAUAGUACCUAGACAACCAGGACAUUAGCCUAGAAGCAGCGAUUGUUUAAAAAGUGCGUAAUAGCUUACUGGUCAAGUGCUUUUGCGCCGAAAAUGUAUGGGACUAAGUAAUCUGCCGAAAGUGUGAGUAAUACGGUAGAAGAGCGUUCUACUAUUGUUUGAAGUAAUAGCGUGAGCAGUUAUGGACUAAGUAGAAGUGAGAAUGUCGGCUUAAGUAACGAAAACAUUGGUUGAAAUCCAAUGCUCUGAAAACCUAAGGAUUCCUCCGCAAGGCUCGUCCACGGGGGGUUAGUCAGGUUCUAAGACGAGGUUUAAAAACGUAGUUGAUGAAUAACAGGUUAAUAUUCCUGUACUAUAUUCUGGUUAGUUAAGAAGGACGGAAAAGGCUAGGUCAGCCAAAGAUUGGUUGUUUUGGUUUAAGUAUCCGAGGUGUUGAAAAACGUAAAAGAAUAUGUUUGGAGCUAAGGUACGAAUACGAGAUACUACGGUGUCAAAAGUGUCUGAUGUCAUGUUCCCAAGAAAAUUUAUUGUAACGUUUAAUCCAGAGUAUACCUGUACCUUAAACCGACACAGGUAGGUUGGUAGAGAAUACCAAGGAGCGCGAGAGAACUCUUUUUAAGGAACUCGGCAAAAUAACCCUGUAACUUCGGGAGAAGGGGUGCCCAAAAGGGUCGCAGUGAUCAGGUCCAAGCGGCUGUUUAUCAAAAACACAGGUCUCCGCUAAGUCGAAAGACGAUGUAUGGGGGCUGACGCCUGCCCAGUGCCGGAAGGUUACAGAAAUUGGUUAGUCGUAAGGCGAAGCUAGUGACUUAAGCCCUGGUGAACGGCAGCAGUAACUAUAACUGUUCUAAUGUAGCGAAAUUCCUUGUCGGGUAAGUUCCGACCCGCACGAAAGGCGUAACGAUUUGGAUACUGUCUCAAAAAGAGGCUCGGUGAAAUAGAAUUGACUGUGAAGAUGCGGUCUACUUGCACUUGGACAGAAAGACCCUAUGAAGCUUUACUGUAACUUGAUAUUGGUUUUGGACUUUUUUUGCGCAGUAUAAGUGGGAGGCAUUGAUCUUCUCUUUCGGGGGACUGGGAGCCACAAAUGAGAUACCACUCUAAAAAAGUUAAAAAUCUAAUGGCAUACUUUAAUUAAGAUGCUUGACAGUUUCAGGCGGGCAGUUUUACUGGGGCGGUAGCCUCCUAAAAGGUAACGGAGGCGUACAAAGGUUUUCUCAAGCUGGACGGAAAUUAGUUGUAGAGUGUAAAGACAAAAGAAAGCUUAACUGUUAGACUUAUAAGUCAAGCAGAGACGAAAGUCGGUCUUAGUGAUCCGACGGUGCUGUGUGGAAAGACCGUCGCUUAACAGAUAAAAGUUACUCUAGGGAUAACAGGCUGAUCUCCCCCAAGAGUUCACAUCGACGGGGAGGUUUGGCACCUCGAUGUCGGCUCAUCGCAACCUGGAGCGGUAGUACGUUCCAAGGGUUGGGCUGUUCGCCCAUUAAAGCGGUACGUGAGCUGGGUUCAGAACGUCGAGAGACAGUUCGGUCCAUAUCCGGUGUAAGCGUUAGAGUAUUGAGAGGAGCUUUCCUUAGUACGAGAGGACCGGGAAAGACACACCACUGGUGUACCAGUUCUUGUGCCAACAGGAGACGCUGGGUAGUCACGUGUGGAGAGGAUAACUGCUGAAAGCAUAUAAGUAGGAAGCCCACCUUUAGAUUAGUACUCUUUAAACUUUAAGUUUAGUAAGGUCACGGCAAGACUAGCCGUUUUAUAGGUAUUAGGUAUAAGAUUUGUAAGGGUUUGAGCCGAAAUAUACUAACAGACCGAGU
This 2690-nucleotide ribosomal RNA is filed under the name Flexiglena variabilis. RNAcentral's name for it is "23S ribosomal RNA". It matches the Rfam family "Bacterial large subunit ribosomal RNA". Lineage: Eukaryota; Euglenozoa; Euglenophyceae; Euglenales; Phacaceae. The record is from RNAcentral.